This 240-nucleotide ribosomal RNA is filed under the name uncultured eukaryote. Its description in RNAcentral is "partial 18S ribosomal RNA". It matches the Rfam family "Eukaryotic small subunit ribosomal RNA", at positions 1208 to 1456 of the family's 1831-position model. The record is from RNAcentral.
GGAAAACUCACCAGGCCCGGACACUGGAAGGAUUGACAGAUUGAUAGCUCUUUCUUGAUUCGGUGGGUGGUGGUGCAUGGCCGUUCUUAGUUGGUGGAGCGAUCUGUCUGGUUAAUUCCGAUAACGAACGAGACCCCAACCUGCUAACUAGCCCUCGGGUCCUGCUUCUGUUGGGCCCGACGGAAUGAUUCGCUUCUUAGAGGGACUCGCGGCGCCUAGCCGCACGAAGGGGGGCGAUAA